RNAcentral lists this ribosomal RNA (376 nucleotides) under Metaphire sieboldi (earthworm). Its description in RNAcentral is "partial 16S ribosomal RNA". It matches the Rfam family "Bacterial large subunit ribosomal RNA", at positions 1926 to 2541 of the family's 2925-position model. The record is from RNAcentral. Lineage: Eukaryota; Metazoa; Annelida; Clitellata; Crassiclitellata; Megascolecidae.
AACGGCCGCGGUAUCCUAACCGUGCAAAGGUAGCAUAAUCACUUGCCUAUUAAUUGUAGGCUAGAAUGAAUGGGUUAACGAAAUAAAGACUGUCUCAAUUAAUCACCUAAAAAUUACUAUCUAUUUGAAGAAGAGUAGAUAAUCUCGAAGGACAAGAAGACCCUAUAGAGCUUAAUUUUAAUUAUAGAACUAUACUAUAAAAAUAUUCGGUUGGGGCGACCCAGGGCUAAUCAAUCACCCACUACAUAAAAGAUAUAUUAAUCAAAUAAUUGACCCCUAAAAGAUCAUAAGAACAAGCUACCUUAGGGAUAACAGGCUAAUCCCACUCAAGAGUCCUUAUCAACAGUGGGGUUUGGCACCUCGAUGUUGGCUUAGG